This 255-nucleotide ribosomal RNA is filed under the name uncultured bacterium. RNAcentral's name for it is "partial 16S ribosomal RNA". It matches the Rfam family "Bacterial small subunit ribosomal RNA", at positions 524 to 777 of the family's 1533-position model. The record is from RNAcentral.
GACGAGGGAUCCUAGCGUUGUUCGGAAUCAUUGGGCGUAAAGCGGGUGUAGGUGGCUUUGUAAGUCAGGUGUGAAAUCCCUGGGCUCAACCCAGGAAGUGCAUUUGAUACUGCGAAGCUUGAGUGCUAGAGAGGUAAGUAGAAUACCUGGUGUAGUGGUGAAAUACGUAGAUAUCAGGUGGAAUACCGGAGGCGAAGGCGGCUUACUGGCUAGACACUGACACUCAGACCCGAAAGCGUGGGGAGUCAAACAGGA